This 520-nucleotide ribosomal RNA is filed under the name uncultured Glomus. RNAcentral's name for it is "SSU rRNA". It matches the Rfam family "Eukaryotic small subunit ribosomal RNA", at positions 569 to 1092 of the family's 1831-position model. The record is from RNAcentral. Lineage: Eukaryota; Fungi; Glomeromycota; Glomeromycetes; Glomerales; Glomeraceae.
AGCAGCCGCGGUAAUUCCAGCUCCAAUAGCGUAUAUUAAAGUUGUUGCAGUUAAAAAGCUCGUAGUUGAAUUUCGGGAUCAGUAUGUUGGUCGUGCUUCGGUACGUACUGUCAUUACUGGUUUCUACCUUCUGAAGAACCUUGAUGUCAUUAAUUUGGUGUCUUGGGGAAUCAGGACUGUUACUUUGAAAAAAUUAGAGUGUUUAAAGCAGGCUCGCGCUUGAAUACAUUAGCAUGGAAUAAUGAAAUAGGACGUUUAAUUCUAUUUUGUUGGUUCUAGGAUUGACGUAAUGAUUAAUAGGGAUAGUUGGGGGCAUUAGUAUUCAAUUGUCAGAGGUGAAAUUCUUGGAUUUAUUGAAGACUAACUACUGCGAAAGCAUUUGCCAAGGAUGUUUUCAUUAAUCAAGAACGAAAGUUAGGGGAUCGAAGACGAUCAGAUACCGUCGUAGUCUUAACCAUAAACUAUGCCGACUAGGGAUCGGAUGAUGUUAAUUUUUAAUUGACUCAUUCGGCGCCUUAAC